Pelodiscus sinensis (Chinese soft-shelled turtle) is the source of this 119-nucleotide non-coding RNA. The record is from RefSeq and is a predicted model, not a curated record. NCBI's taxonomy places the organism in Eukaryota, Metazoa, Chordata, Testudines, Trionychidae.
CAUCUCUCUGGCUUCGGUCACAGCCGUGACCACCAAUGUGUCGAAUAAGAGGUCAAAGCCUGAUAUUAAAAUGGAGCCCAGCGCAGGCCGGCCCAUGGAUUACCAAGUGAGCAUCACGG